UACGUAGGGCGCAAGCGUUGUCCGGAAUUAUUGGGCGUAAAGAGCUCGUAGGCGGUUUGUUGCGUCGGCUGUGAAAACCCGGGGCUUAACCCUGGGCUUGCAGUGGAUACGGGCAGACUAGAGGCAGGUAGGGGAGAAUGGAAUUCCCGGUGUAGCGGUGAAAUGCGCAGAUAUCGGGAGGAACACCGGUGGCGAAGGCGGUUCUCUGGGCCUGACCUGACGCUGAGGAGCGAAAGCGUGGGGAGCGAACAGG
Molecule: ribosomal RNA, 253 nt
Filed under: uncultured bacterium
Lineage: Bacteria
Description: partial 16S ribosomal RNA
Rfam family: Bacterial small subunit ribosomal RNA
Source: RNAcentral